GACGAACGCUGGCGGCGUGCCUAAUACAUGCAAGUCGAACGCUUCUUUCCUCCCGAGUGCUUGCACUCAAUUGGAAAGAGGAGUGGCGGACGGGUGAGUAACACGUGGGUAACCUACCCAUCAGAGGGGGAUAACACUUGGAAACAGGUGCUAAUACCGCAUAACAGUUUAUGCCGCAUGGCAUAAGAGUGAAAGGCGCUUUCGGGUGUCGCUGAUGGAUGGACACGCGGUGCAUUAGCUAGUUGGUGAGGUAACGGCUCACCAAGGCCACGAUGCAUAGCCGACCUGAGAGGGUGAUCGGCCACACUGGGACUGAGACACGGCCCAGACUCCUACGGGAGGCAGCAGUAGGGAAUCUUCGGCAAUGGACGAAAGUCUGACCGAGCAACGCCGCGUGAGUGAAGAAGGUUUUCGGAUCGUAAAACUCUGUUGUUAGAGAAGAACAAGGACGUUAGUAACUGAACGUCCCCUGACGGUAUCUAACCAGAAAGCCACGGCUAACUACGUG
RNAcentral lists this ribosomal RNA (508 nucleotides) under uncultured bacterium. Its description in RNAcentral is "partial 16S ribosomal RNA". It matches the Rfam family "Bacterial small subunit ribosomal RNA", at positions 28 to 507 of the family's 1533-position model. The record is from RNAcentral.